UAAGAAACAUAUGGUUAUCAGAACGUUGUGUGCUAGCUGGGUAACCUAUAUUCUUGUAAAAUCGAGUGAUGUUGUUUAUAAUCCACCAGAAGGCCUUUAUUUAAUCCUAGCCAGAAUUUUAGCAUUUUCAAUAAAAAAUACUAGCUAUUUAAUGGAUGUGUCCUGGCAGAUAAUGGCUGGAAAAAAAUACUCAAUAGGCUAAUUCAGUUUCAGUAUAAUCUACUAGUAUUAUUUUCAUGUGAUAUAAUAGACGUUAUAAACUGUUAAAUUAGCAUACCUAAUUAGCCGGUUUCCAAUUUGGAAUCUGUCGUUAUAUUAUUCACAUCCACGCGCUUUCAGGACAGAAUUUCACAGGGCUUUCCUUACGGUAUUCAGAGCAUAAAAUAAGACAUUUCCCUUUUAAGACGGUGAGUUUACUGUAGUUUAGGCCAAAUAUUAUACAGGCUAGUUUAGGAAAAAUGUGUGGUCGCCUAAACAAAAGUUUAGACAUACAUAGAUGGUUUGGAUUAAAUCGAUUACACAACAGUCUCUAAAAACAGUUCGGUGUGUUUCGAUCAGAAACGAUGCCUCUGUUUGACAAGUCUUGGCUCCAAAAGAGUGUCCGCUUCGUGGGCGUAGGCGUGAACCUAUUCAAGUACAGUAAAUAUGGAGAGCUGUGAAAGCCUGUCUGUAGAUGAAGAGGUCCCAGUGAAUGUCCCAAGAGAUUGCUGGCACAUCCUUGUAUGCCAUGGGUUGUAUGUGUAUUUAUGUUAACAAAUGUUGUAUACAACAAUACAGUUAAAAGUCACACAGAAUGUAGGCUACAAACUUAUUACAACUGUAGCAGGCCAAUCCUUCUCCUGGAGGUAUGCUGGGUGUGCACGCUUUUGUUCAAGCCCAGCACUAACACCUGAUUCAAACCUAUUGAGUUGAGAAUGUGUAUUUUUGCUGGGCUGGAAUACUGCUCACCCAGUAUAUCAGGGAGUGGAGCAAGGUUGGCAACCUCUGGUAUGGCUUUUUUGUACACCUGAAAUUAGGCUUUAGUAAUAAUAUCCUACUUACUAAGAUGUCUAACAUUUACAAACACGUUUUGUACAAACUUGUACAUUUUUAAAUUCAAUGUUGAUUCAUUGAAGUGUUUAAACUGGUUUUAAUUGUUAACUUAAAACAUUCAAGUUGUGGCAAUGUUCAUUCAUGACAGAACACAAUUCUGCAAUAAAAAGGUGUGAAGAGGAUCUGUCUCUAAUUUGUCUGUUUCUGUGUUGCUUUCGUGAAGUAACAUUACCUUUUUGUCCAGUUGUGAGCUCUCCAAUCGGUUUUAUUUGAUUGUCACUCUCAGGAUAUCAGCCAUGUGAACCCAUUUUGCAGCUUAUCAUAAUGGCAUGCAUCACCAAUGCAGCCAUAGGCCUAACGUUUGAUGGCAUUACUGGCCUAAUGGGCAUGUCCAUCAACGUGCCCCUUGUCAUUGUACAUCUAAUGCAGCUCUACGGACAAUUUCUUUGACCUCGUGGCUUGGUUUUUGCUCUGACAUGCCUUGUUAACUGUGGGACCUUAUAUAGACAGGUGUGUGUGCCUUUCCAAAUCAUGUCCAAUCAAUUGACUUUACCACAGGUGGACUCCAAUCAAGUUGUAGAACCAUCCCAAGGAUGAUCAAUGAAAACAGGAUGCACCUGAGCUCAAUUUUGAUUCUCAUAGCAAAGGGUCUGAAUACUUAUGUAGAUAAGAAUACAGAGACAAAGUCAGAAGGUCAACGGCAUGGAGGAG
This 1743-nucleotide long non-coding RNA is filed under the name Salmo salar (Atlantic salmon). RNAcentral describes it as "lncRNA (ENSSSAG00000093531.1)". Lineage: Eukaryota; Metazoa; Chordata; Actinopteri; Salmoniformes; Salmonidae. The record is from RNAcentral.